RNAcentral lists this ribosomal RNA (301 nucleotides) under uncultured bacterium. RNAcentral's name for it is "partial 16S ribosomal RNA". It matches the Rfam family "Bacterial small subunit ribosomal RNA", at positions 509 to 807 of the family's 1533-position model. The record is from RNAcentral.
CAGCCGCCGCGGGAAUACGAAGGGUGCAAGCGUUACUCGGAAUUACUGGGCGUAAAGCGUGCGUAGGUGGUGGUUUAAGUCCGUUGUGAAAGCCCUGGGCUCAACCUGGGAAUUGCAGUGGAUACUGGGUCACUAGAGUGUGGUAGAGGAUAGUGGAAUUUCCGGUGUAGCAGUGAAAUGCGUAGAGAUCGGGAGGAACAUCAGUGGCGAAGGCGGCCAUCUGGGACAACACUGACGCUGAGGCACGAAAGCGUGGGGAGCAAACAGGAUUAGAGACCCCUGUAGUCCCUGUCUCUUAUAC